AUGGCUCCUACAAAGCAGACCGCUCGCAAAUCCGCGGGUGGUAGAGCACCCAGGAAGCAACUGGCUACAAAAGCCGCUCGCAAGACUGCGCCCUCUACUGGAAGGGUGAAGAAACCUCAUCGCUACAGGCCUGGUAAGGUGGCACUCCGUGAAAUAAGACAUUAUCAGAAGCCCACUGAACUUCUGAUUCACAAACUUCCUUUCCAGCGUCUGGUGCGAGAAAUUCCUCAGGACUUUAAGACAGAUCUGCGCUUCCAGAGCUCAGCUAUUGGUGCUUUGCAGGAGGCAAGGGAGGCCUAUCUGGUUGGCCUUUUUUAAGACACCAACCUGCCAAACGUGUAACAAUUAUGCCAAAAGACAUCCAGCUAGCACGCCGCAUACCUGGAGAACGUGCUUAGGAGUCCACUAUGAUGGGAAACAUUUCAUUGUCAAAAAAAA
RNA transcript from Otolemur garnettii (small-eared galago), 438 nucleotides. It is a transcript of the gene named histone H3.3-like, with no coding region annotated. The transcript has a single exon. The record is from RefSeq and is a predicted model, not a curated record. NCBI's taxonomy places the organism in Eukaryota, Metazoa, Chordata, Mammalia, Primates, Galagidae.